AUACCGGCUUGCCUCAUCGAGCCUAACGAUGCCCUCGUCGUCUUGGUGCCCGAGAAGAAAAACUCAAACAAGAAAGGUCCUAAGGACAGAUAUUCUAGUAGGUUUUCUGAACCAUUCUAUACUAGAAUUAUGUCAAAUGGGGAGCAUUGCGAUAGAGAUUGUCUUGUCUAUUCUAAGGACCUCAAUAGACUAUUUUGCUUUGCUUGUAAAUUAUUUACAAAAGGGCAUAGAAAAGGUCAGUUGGCAAACGAGGGGUGUGAUGAUUGGGUACAUCUUGGCAAUACACUUAAAGAGCAUGAGACAAGUGUAGAUCAUGUUUUGAAUAUGACCACUUGGUAUGAGCUCUGUACUACUAGAUUGCAAAAGCAUCAAACUAUUGAUAAAGAUGCUCAAGGACAACUUGAGAAUGAAGAGCACUGGAGAAAAAUUUUGUUCAGGAUUGUUUGCAUUAUUAAAUUUCUUGCCAAGCAUAAUCUAGCCUUCCGUGGUAGUAACAGCAAACUGUAUGAAAACAGCAAUGGGAAUUUCUUGGGUCUGGUAGAGAUGUUGGCUGAAUUUAACACAUUUAUUCAACAAGAGCAUGCUUUUAUUACAAAUGAAGAAACUCAUGCUCAUCAUCUUGAUCAUAAGAUUUAGAAUGAGUUGAUACACUUGUUUGCUUCGGCUAUUAAGUUUGAGAUUUUUAAGAAAAUAAAGAGUGCAAAAUAUUUCUUGGUCAUACUUGAUUGUACCCUGAUGCAAGCCACCAAGAACAGAUAUCUUCAAUUGUUAGUGCUAGAGAAUGAACUUAAGCUUCUUGAUCUUGAUAUAGAUAAUGUGAGAGGACAAGGGUAUGAUAAUGGGUCAGAUAUGAAAGGAAAACAUCAUGGGGUACAAAGGAGAGUUUUGAAUGUAAAUCCUAGAGCUGUCUAUUCUGCUUGUGGUUGCCAUAGCCUUAAUUUAACACUUUGUGGUAUCAUCCAACACAUUUGUGUAACUUUCGCAAUUUUUACGAAGAAAUGCAAUUCUGAAAGAUAA
RNAcentral lists this ribosomal RNA (1017 nucleotides) under Triticum aestivum (bread wheat). Its description in RNAcentral is "partial small subunit ribosomal RNA". The record is from RNAcentral. Lineage: Eukaryota; Viridiplantae; Streptophyta; Magnoliopsida; Poales; Poaceae.